AAAAAAGCUAGCCAUGAAAAAUAAUGAACCUCGUUCAAGUUCUUCUUGUGCAGCUUGUAAGUUCUUGAAGAGAAGAUGCACUACCACAUGCCAAUUUGCACCAUAUUUCCGAUCGGACGAGCCGAAGAAGUUUGCUAAUGUACACAAGGUGUUUGGAGCUAGCAACGUGAUCAAGAUCCUGAAUGAAGUGCCACAAGACCAGCGAGAGGACACUGUCAACUCGCUAGUCUACGAGGCUGAGGUGAGACUAAGAGACCCGGUUUACGGUUGCAUUGGAGCUAUAGCAUCUUUGCAGAGGAAGAUGGUGGAGCUACAACAUGAUCUGAUGGUUACUAAAGCACAUCUUGCUUACUAUGAAACUAAGCCCAGUACCACAACUUCUAAUUGUUCACUCUUGGAUUAUGAUCCUAACCCUUCUUUUUAUGUGGACACUUCUGCUGGAUUCAUGGAUACCUUCACCCA
RNAcentral lists this unclassified non-coding RNA (462 nucleotides) under Hevea brasiliensis (rubber tree). The record is from RNAcentral. Lineage: Eukaryota; Viridiplantae; Streptophyta; Magnoliopsida; Malpighiales; Euphorbiaceae.